CAUCCUCUUCUUGAAUGAUGCAAAUCCCUAAUUAAAACCCUCUGGUAGACAUCAGAGUUUAGGGGUUUUUUAGGGUUUAUUAGGGUUUUUUUUUAUGGUUUUUAGAUUUUUUAGGGAUUUUUAGGGGUUUUUAGGUGUUUGUUAUUAGAUGGUUUUUAGGGUUGCCAUGGAUUUCCACUGCGGUACACGCAGGUGUAUUCCGCGUACCCCCAGUUGCUCCACACAUCCAGUUUGAUCCUUUAUUACAUUAACAGCAUGCAGCAAGUGGAGCUGCUGCAGGAGCUGGAGCAGGUGAGCACCUAAUGGACGGGCACACAAGGGCCGAGCUGCCGGCUGAAGGGCACCCUGCCCAUGGCAUGGCAGCAGAGGGCCGGGGGACAACGCUGCUCCCUUCCCCUCCCACAGGCUCAUGAGCAGCUCAUGGAGAACCGCACGGCCACGGCCAGGGAGUCUUUGUUGAAGGUGAGGAGAUGCUGCUGUGUGGUGUGGGGUGGGAGAAGUGCCCUCGUGUGGGUCUGCAGCUCCAGCCCUGCAGGCCCUGCUUGCCCCGAUGGAGGAGGCAGGAGGGGACGGAGCCCCAUGGGAGCACCGGUGCCCUGACGGUUGAUGCUCUUCUCCUUUCCCACAGAAUGCCCAGCAAAUACGGGCUGAAAGAACGGCUGCCCGUAAAGAGGAGCUGGAGCAGGUAGGGGGCAGUGAGGGCUCGUCCUCACAGCUCGGCAUCCUCACGCCUCCCUGCUGUGGCAGAGACCUCCUCGCGUCCCUAAUCCCCGGCGUACCUGGGACCAACCGCAGCCACCUGGUGGGUUAUCUACUCCGCUCCGCUUUGGUCUUGAGAGCAGCACUCAUUGCCCAGCCUGGAAGAGCAGCUCGCACGUGCUGAGACAGCGAGGAGAUCGAGGUCCUGCCCGAGGAGCCGUCUGUCCUCACAUCCACAUCGCUGCCACCCAGCAACCGAAGGAACGGGGUCUCCACUGAGCAGAUGGCAGCAGCACGUGGGCUCUAACGGGAUCGUCUGGUCAGCUGCUCAUCCGCCGUGCCGGUCCUCUCAUCGGUCAGGAGGGGUGCCCGCCGACGCGUGUGCCGCUCCAUCGGGCAGCGGCAGCGCCGCCAGCUCCGAUUGGCUGAGGCUCCGCGCGCGGGAGCGGCCGCCAUCUUGUGUCUCGGUGCCUCCCGGCUCUCCCUUCGUUCGGCUGAAGCCGCUGCCGCAGCCCGGGCCACCCCGCACUGGGCAGCGGCCGCGUGGCAGCCGCUGCGGCGGAGCUGUUCCGGGCAGCACGAAGACGGAACCUGACGCCACGACGGGAAGCGGUUGCUGGGACGGCGGCGCCGCAGAGUGGGUGAAACGCUAGUCCUGAAAUUUCAGUCAGAAUUGGAAGAGAGAAGGGAACGGCAGGAACGGAUCAGCCGGCCAUGGGGCAAUACCUGCUUGGGAGGUACCGGAUGUUGGGGAAAUGCUGCCCCCAGUGCCAGGUGGGGGGGGACAUGGUGGGUCGGGAAGGGGCCUGGAGGGGGGGGAGCAGUGUGGGGGUUUGUGGUAGAGAUGGGGGGGCUGAGGGGGGGUCUGGAGGGGAUAGUGGGGUGUUGUAAGCAGGGGAGCUGCUGCCCCCAUUGCCAGGUGGGGGGGUUAUGGGGUGGGGGAUUGCUAUGGGGGUA
This 1656-nucleotide long non-coding RNA is filed under the name Coturnix japonica (Japanese quail). RNAcentral's name for it is "lncRNA (ENSCJPG00005000605.1)". The record is from RNAcentral. Lineage: Eukaryota; Metazoa; Chordata; Aves; Galliformes; Phasianidae.